Molecule: non-coding RNA, 182 nt
Filed under: Pusillimonas sp.
Lineage: Bacteria; Pseudomonadati; Pseudomonadota; Betaproteobacteria; Burkholderiales; Alcaligenaceae
Also listed under: 1 other name
Description: 6S RNA
Rfam family: 6S / SsrS RNA
About the family: E. coli 6S RNA was the first non coding RNA to be sequenced, but its function was unknown until recently. It consists of 184 nucleotides that fold into an extended hairpin structure with a large single-stranded internal bulge.
Source: RNAcentral
UAGUCCCUGCAGUGUUCGUGACAUGACCAUACAUUCCUUGAACCAAUGCUAUGGCAUUCGGGUUGCCGGAUUGACAAGUAGGCGUGAACACCUCUUUUGGUGAUCCCGAAGCUUGACUGAUGGCGACCAACCUUGAACUCCGGUUCCAGGAUGCCGGUCUAGACGGCACAGGUGGGGCAUUU